Nothobranchius furzeri (turquoise killifish) is the source of this 306-nucleotide long non-coding RNA. RefSeq lists it as uncharacterized. The record is from RefSeq and is a predicted model, not a curated record. NCBI's taxonomy places the organism in Eukaryota, Metazoa, Chordata, Actinopteri, Cyprinodontiformes, Nothobranchiidae.
CUCAAUUGUUGGUCCUGGAUACUCUCUGCCUCCCUGAGGUGUGUGUUUUUUUUCAUCUCGGCGCUGUUCGAUUCCCUGGCCUCCGCUCUCCACCGCUCACCUGCCUUCCUGGAUCUAACCGUUCUCCUGCGACAACCUCCACCCCUGCAUCAGCCUGACUUGCCUCUCCCUCCAGCUCGUACCCUGCUCAACUCAUCGGAGUCGUCCCGUUUUCCUGUCCCUUUGGAUCUGUGCUCUUAUUUAUUAUUCUUUGGUUUCUUUGUGUUUCUUAAUAAUAAAGACCUUUAUAUCAUCGCUCACCUUAUC